This is a long non-coding RNA of Oreochromis niloticus (Nile tilapia), 724 nucleotides long. RefSeq lists it as uncharacterized. The record is from RefSeq and is a predicted model, not a curated record. Lineage: Eukaryota; Metazoa; Chordata; Actinopteri; Cichliformes; Cichlidae. The transcript is spliced from 2 exons.
AGCAGAUUUGAUAUGGCCCACCAAAUCCCAGGAUUCACUGCGAGUCAACGGUUGAAGAAAAAUGGCGGCCGGUCGAAGUGAAGCGGUCCAGAAAUAAACUCUUCAAAUGUUCAGAGUCAGAAGAGACUGAGAAGGUGAGGAGACGGAGGCUCUUCACCCCUAAUGAGACACCAGGACAGAUCCAGGACAGUGUGUGAGGAAGAGGAAGAGGAGGAGGCAGCAGCAGCUGAGAGAUGCAGAGGAGAACAGGCAGCUCUCUGUAGUUGAGGGACUGGUAAAGACAUUGAAAGCACUUUCUCGAUAUUUGCUUCCUGUAUUUGCAGAAGUAUCUCCAGCACAAACUGUAACAGCUGCAUAUAGGGAACCACUCAUCGCUGUUUAUCCUGCAGGACAGGAUCUGACAGGGAAAGACGGAAAAAUAAGGGAACCACGGACAACUUUGAUAAUGCUUUGAUUUAUCCAGAAUAUAUUUAGUUCAAAUAUUGUUUUCAUCACAGUGGGAUUGUGCUGGUUUCAGUGGGAAAGGUAUGCAGCUCAUUUAAAUACAAAGUUGUCCCUUCAUAAAGUGUGUCAGUAUUUUAUAAAGAUGUCAUGUUUCUGUAUCAUCUCUCUCCUGUUAGAGCCUCUGACCCAAACAUCAGCCUGUUUAAUGCUCUCAUGUCUUCAACAUCUUAAGUAAAUCAUACUGCACAGUUUUCUCAUUAAUAAAAGAAUAUUUACUGCA